CCUACGGGAGGCAGCAGUAAGGGAUAUUGGUCAAUGGGGGAAACCCUGCACCAGCCACGCCGCGUGAAGGAAGAAGGAUCUAUGGUUUGUAAACUUCUUUUAUAGGGGAAUCAAGGUAUCCACGUGUGGAUAUUUGCAUGUACCCUAUGAAUACGCAUCGGCUAACUCCGUGCCAGCAGCCGCGGUAAUACGGAGGAUGCGAGCGUUAUCCGGAUUUAUUGGGUUUAAAGGGUGCGUAGGUUGUUUUUUAAGUCAGCGGUGAAAGGUUGUGGCUCAACCAUAAAAUUGCCGUUGAAACUGGAAGACUUGAGGGUGUUUGAGGUAGGCGGAAUGCGUGGUGUAGCGGUGAAAUGCAUAGAUAUCACGCAGAACUCCGAGUGCGAAGGCAGCUUACUAAGCCAUAACUGACACUGAAGCACGAAAGCGUGGGGAUCAAACAGGAUUAGAUACCCGAGUAGUC
This 460-nucleotide ribosomal RNA is filed under the name uncultured bacterium. RNAcentral's name for it is "partial 16S ribosomal RNA". It matches the Rfam family "Bacterial small subunit ribosomal RNA", at positions 338 to 795 of the family's 1533-position model. The record is from RNAcentral.